ACACGACUACGAGUUUGAUCCGUGGCUCAGAGCGAACGCUAGCGGCGGGCUUAACACAUGCAAGUCGAGCGCAUCUCCUUCGGGAGGUGAGCGGCGAACGGGUGAGUAACACGUAGGUAACGUACCCUCUGGUGGGGAUUAACCCGGGGAAACUUGGGCUAAUACCGCAUGUGCCCUUCGGGGUGAAAGACUUCGGUUGCCAGAGGAUCGGCCUGCGGCCCAUUAUUUAAUCCUAGUUGGUAGGGUAACGGCCUACCAAGGGUACGAUGGGUAGCUGGUCUGAGAGGAUGAUCAGCCACACUGGGACUGAGACACGGCCCAGACUCCUACGGGAGGCAGCAGUGGGGAAUAUUGGACAAUGGGCGAAAGCCUGAUCCAGCCACGCCGCGUGAGUGAUGAAGGCCUUCGGGUUGUAAAGCUCUGUCGGGAGGGACGAAGUACUGACGGUACCUCCCAAGAAAGCGCCGGCUAACUCCGUG
This 479-nucleotide ribosomal RNA is filed under the name uncultured bacterium. RNAcentral's name for it is "bacterial SSU rRNA". It matches the Rfam family "Bacterial small subunit ribosomal RNA", at positions 1 to 507 of the family's 1533-position model. The record is from RNAcentral.